AGAGAGGUGAUUCACAAUAAGAA
Molecule: transfer RNA, 23 nt
Filed under: Pseudemys concinna concinna
Lineage: Eukaryota; Metazoa; Chordata; Testudines; Emydidae
Description: partial tRNA-Ser
Source: RNAcentral